GAGGACCUGGGUGGACGAACCUCUGGUAUGCCGGUUGUCACGCCAGUGGCACGGCCGGUUGGCUACGUUCGGAAGGGAUAACCGCUGAAAGCAUCUAAGCGGGAAGCCUGCUCCAAGAUAAGCAUUCCAUAGGACUACGGGUCCUUGAAGUCCCCAUGCAGAACACGUGGGUGAUAGGCCGGACGUGGAAGCCCCGCGAGGGGUGGAGCCGACCGGUACUAACGGACGAAAGGCAACACAAC
This 242-nucleotide ribosomal RNA is filed under the name Agathobacter rectalis. RNAcentral's name for it is "partial 23S ribosomal RNA". It matches the Rfam family "Bacterial large subunit ribosomal RNA", at positions 2687 to 2925 of the family's 2925-position model. The record is from RNAcentral. Lineage: Bacteria; Bacillati; Bacillota; Clostridia; Lachnospirales; Lachnospiraceae.